RNAcentral lists this ribosomal RNA (791 nucleotides) under uncultured spirochete. Its description in RNAcentral is "bacterial SSU rRNA". It matches the Rfam family "Bacterial small subunit ribosomal RNA", at positions 34 to 870 of the family's 1533-position model. The record is from RNAcentral. Lineage: Bacteria; Pseudomonadati; Spirochaetota; Spirochaetia; Spirochaetales.
UACCUGCGGUGCGUUUAUCAUGCAAGUCGAGGGACCCUUCGGGGGACCGGCAGACGGCUGAGUAACACGUUGGAACCUACCCGAUACUCGAGGAUAGCUCGGAGAAAUCCGAAUUAAUACUCGAUAGUCUCUACGGAGUAAAGAUUUUUCGGUAUCGGAGGGGCCUGCGGCCUAUCAGCUUGUUGGUGAGGUAAUAGCUCACCAAGGCAAUGACGGGUAGCUGGUGUGAGAGCACGACCAGCCAGAAUGGGACUGAGACACGGCCCAUACUCCUACGGGAGGCAGCAGUAAAGAAUCUUCCACAAUGGACGAAAGUCUGAUGGAGCGACACCGCGUGAGGGACGACUUCCUAACGGAUGUAAACCUCUUUUGUGUGGGAACAAAUUUUUGAGCUAACCACACGAAUAAGCACCGGCUAAUCACGUGCCAGCAGCCGCGGUAAUACGUGAGGUGCAAGCGUUAUCCGGAAUAACUGGGCGUAAAGCGUCCGCAGCCGGUUUGUUAAGUCUGGGGUAAAAUUUUAGGGCUCAACUCUAAAAGUGUUCCGGAAACUGGCAAACUAGAGAUCGAGAGGGGCAAGUGGAAUUCCUGUUGUAGGGGUAAAAUCCGUAGAUAACAGGAGGAACACCAAACGCGAAGGCAACUUGCUGGCUCGAUACUGACGGUCAGGGACGAAAGCGUGGGGAGCGAACGGGAUUAGAUACCCCGGUAGUCCACGCCCUAAACGAUGGAUGCUCGGUUUGCGAGANAUUCGACCCUCUUGUGAGCCCAGCUANCGCGUUAAGCAUCCC